Molecule: ribosomal RNA, 254 nt
Filed under: uncultured bacterium
Lineage: Bacteria
Description: partial 16S ribosomal RNA
Rfam family: Bacterial small subunit ribosomal RNA
Source: RNAcentral
UACGGGGGGAGCAAGCGUUGUUCGGAUUUACUGGGCGUAAAGGGCGCGUAGGCGGCCACCGCAAGUCAAUCGUGAAAUCUCCGGGCUUAACUCGGAAAGGUCAACUGAUACUGCGGGGCUAGAGUGCGGAAGGGGCAACUGGAAUUCUCGGUGUAGCGGUGAAAUGCGUAGAUAUCGAGAGGAACACCUGCGGCGAAGGCGGGUUGCUGGGCCGACACUGACGCUGAUGCGCGAAAGCCAGGGGAGCGAACGGG